AGUUAUUUAGCUUAAGAAAAGCAUAUAUUUUGAAAAUAUUAGAUAGAUUUAAUUUAUUAACUU
This 63-nucleotide transfer RNA is filed under the name Seasogonia rosea. RNAcentral's name for it is "tRNA-Ser". Lineage: Eukaryota; Metazoa; Arthropoda; Insecta; Hemiptera; Cicadellidae. The record is from RNAcentral.